Molecule: long non-coding RNA, 278 nt
Filed under: Ananas comosus (pineapple)
Lineage: Eukaryota; Viridiplantae; Streptophyta; Magnoliopsida; Poales; Bromeliaceae
Description: long non-coding RNA (ACOM_LNC000199)
Source: RNAcentral
AACACCACCUUAACUUCUUUUCUCACUUCAUUGAGCGAUCUCCAUCACCCCUGCUACACCUCUCUCUCCUUACCUCUCUUAUUACUGCUUACUUAUUACUAGUUACUUUUUAUUCCUUUCUUUUAUUAUCUCGUUCUUUUUUCUGUACCUUUUCUUUCUCGGAGACCGGAGUUGUUUCCACUAUGUACGCUGAAUUCAUCUCACUUAAUGAAUAAAGCAGGUAGCUUGCUACCUAUUUUCUUAAAAAAAAACUUCUUUUCUCACUUGAGCAGGGGCGG